UUGAGAAGUCUCUGGAACUCAGAGAAAAUACUAUUAAACGAAGCACAGAAGAGAAAUGAAGUCCGGGGUCCAAAAUAUCUAAGGACCCCAUAUAUACACACAUACAUACAUACAAGUGGGUCGGACCGGGUCGGAUGACCCAAAGGCAGAAAAGGAAUUGGGCUCAGAUACAGUGGGCUCGGCACAUAUUCAAUUGGCCCAAUAACCAGUAAUCAUCAUAGCCCACACUAAUGUAUACCAGAUAUACAAUAAACAUACACUGCAUAUACAUU
Molecule: long non-coding RNA, 272 nt
Filed under: Nicotiana benthamiana
Lineage: Eukaryota; Viridiplantae; Streptophyta; Magnoliopsida; Solanales; Solanaceae
Description: long non-coding RNA (NBEN_LNC003188)
Source: RNAcentral